This 73-nucleotide transfer RNA is filed under the name Daphnia pulex (common water flea). It matches the Rfam family "tRNA". Rfam says of the family: Transfer RNA (tRNA) molecules are approximately 80 nucleotides in length. Their secondary structure includes four short double-helical elements and three loops (D, anti-codon, and T loops). Further hydrogen bonds mediate the characteristic L-shaped molecular structure. tRNAs have two regions of fundamental functional importance: the anti-codon, which is responsible for specific mRNA codon recognition, and the 3' end, to which the tRNAs corresponding amino acid is attached (by aminoacyl-tRNA synthetases). tRNAs cope with the degeneracy of the genetic code in two manners: having more than one tRNA (with a specific anti-codon) for a particular amino acid; and 'wobble' base-pairing, i.e. permitting non-standard base-pairing at the 3rd anti-codon position. Lineage: Eukaryota; Metazoa; Arthropoda; Branchiopoda; Diplostraca; Daphniidae. The record is from Rfam by way of RNAcentral.
GGAGCGCUAGCUCAGAUGGUAGAGCGCUCGCUUAGCAUGCGACAAGUACGGGGAUCGAUACCCUGCAUCUCCA